Molecule: non-coding RNA, 200 nt
Filed under: Lacticaseibacillus brantae
Lineage: Bacteria; Bacillati; Bacillota; Bacilli; Lactobacillales; Lactobacillaceae
Description: Lactobacillus brantae T-box sequence
Rfam family: T-box leader
About the family: Uncharged tRNA acts as the effector for transcription antitermination of genes in the T-box leader family. T-boxes are found upstream of many aminoacyl-tRNA synthetase genes and some amino acid biosynthetic genes usually in Gram-positive bacteria. The anticodon of a specific tRNA base pairs to a specifier sequence within the T-box motif, and the NCCA acceptor tail of the tRNA base pairs to a conserved bulge in the T-box antiterminator hairpin.
Source: RNAcentral
AAUAACGCGUUGAACAAGAGGGACGUAGUGGAUUUUUCAGCGACAGGGCGGUUGGUGCGAGCCCUGAAUGAAUCUAUGUCUGUAGCUUGCGAGUCCUACCUUGAAUCUAGUAGAGGUAGUCGGAUAGCUUCCGUUAUCGGCUAUUAAAGCGGGGGAAUGUCCCCAAUUUAGGUGGUACCGCGAGUCAACUCGUCCUAAUU